ACUAACUGUAGAGCAAACACUGGAAACCCUUUAACCUUAAGAAUAUUCAGUGCUCAGAGGCACAACAUUGCAUUUUUAAAGUUUAUUAUUUGCUACCUUUAGCUAAUGUUUUAUUAGCUACGACUUAUUAUUAAUAGACAACAAAUUUUUCUUAAGUUUCUCAACUUUUCUGUCUGAUGCAGAUCCUACUGAGACCAUACACAGAUACGAAGUGCCAUAAUAUGCUCUUUCUUAUGGAUGGAGUUUAGUAUUAUUAACUGUGAUAGACAGUCAGUGAGACACGAUGAAUAUAUUACAGAUGAUUUAUAUCAUGACACUACAUAACACACACACACACACACACACACACACACACAGUGUAAAUGUGCUACUAUACAAGUUAGUUAGCUGGCACUGACCUUGCUAGCAAAAGCUAUUGUAUGGAUAACAUCAUUGCAAGGAUAACAUGUAAACAUGAUCAUGUUUACAAUUGGCUGAUCAAAAAUAACUUAAAUUCCACCCCUUGUUGUAAACUGAUAUAAACACUAAAAUCCUAAAACACUCCCUACUUAGGGAGCCUCCUCUUGAGUAAAAUUGAAAUCUUUCAAGUGAAGGUUUGGCAAAAUAAAACGGAUAACUUUAUGUACAAACAGAGAUUCGAGAAGGAAACAGAAAUGUUGUUAUCUGUGAACUUCAGAGGUCAGAGGUCAGACAUCCGUGCUGAUGGCGUGUGUGUUGGUGUAGAAGUUCAUCAUGGCUGCCGUGCCGAGUGCAGUAACGCCUCUCGGCUCUCGGUGAGCAACAGCGAGCCACAUGCAUUGAUUACACACGUCGUCAUGGCGAUAGUACGGCGAGCAGGUGGGACAGUAGCUGUGGGUGGCACUGGGGUCAGAGGUCAAUGGCAGCAGGGUCCUGGUGACUUCUUCCACACUGCACACGUCACUGCGGAUACGAGGACGAGCGUCCAACACCGGCACACCGACCGACUCUGAGACAUCACACUCACAACAAUAACGCUACACAAACACCAACACCAAACAUCAGCACAAACACCCAACACCAACACAAACACCAAACACCACCACCAACACCGAUACCAAAAUCAAACCCCACCACCAAACACCAAACCCAACACCAAACGCGAACAACAAACACCAACACCAGCACAAACACAAUCCCACACAAUAAAUACAUUACACACAAUAAUAACAAACACAAUUUAAUCCAUUUAUUUUAUUCUGGAUUAGUGCUAUAGGGAAACGUGUCCAUGUGUGAGUGUGUGUGUGUGUGUGUGUGUGUGUGUGUGUGUGUGUGUGUUCUGCAGUAACACAGCACAGUGAUGAUACACAGCAGAAUCACAGCAGCUAAAAAUCCUCCUGAU
Molecule: long non-coding RNA, 1360 nt
Organism: Ictalurus punctatus (channel catfish)
Lineage: Eukaryota; Metazoa; Chordata; Actinopteri; Siluriformes; Ictaluridae
Source: Ensembl